This is a non-coding RNA of Pelobates cultripes (western spadefoot toad), 320 nucleotides long. NCBI's taxonomy places the organism in Eukaryota, Metazoa, Chordata, Amphibia, Anura, Pelobatidae. The record is from the annotation of a GenBank genome assembly.
CAGCACCAGGGGGCACCAUCCAGGGCAGAAUCCAUCGCCAACUCAUUCUGCGCUCCAGUGAAGCAGAAAAUACCCUACCAGGCAUUUAAAGCAUUCUGCGAGGAGAAGGAUGAGAUUGACGGAUACCUGCAGGAUUUUGAGCGGUUAUGCAACCUACACGAUCUGGAGCAGGCAAUGUGGGUACCCCUACUAGCAGGCAAGUUGGCAGGACAGGCAGCAGAGGCUUAUCGCGCUGUUCCCAGAGAGGACAGCAAGGACUACUUUAAAGUCAAACGGGCAAUUCUAGAAAGGUAUGCCAUAACACCGGAGGCAUAUCGGCG